Molecule: ribosomal RNA, 484 nt
Filed under: uncultured bacterium
Lineage: Bacteria
Description: partial 16S ribosomal RNA
Rfam family: Bacterial small subunit ribosomal RNA
Source: RNAcentral
AUUGAACGCUAGCGGGAUGCUUUACACAUGCAAGUCGAACGGCAGCGCGGACUUCGGUCUGGCGGCGAGUGGCGAACGGGUGAGUAAUGUAUCGGAACGUGCCCAGUAGCGGGGGAUAACUACGCGAAAGCGUAGCUAAUACCGCAUACGCCCUACGGGGGAAAGCAGGGGAUCGUAAGACCUUGCACUAUUGGAGCGGCCGAUAUCGGAUUAGCUAGUUGGUGAGGUAACGGCUCACCAAGGCGACGAUCCGUAGCUGGUUUGAGAGGACGACCAGCCACACUGGGACUGAGACACGGCCCAGACUCCUGCGGGAGGCAGCAGUGGGGAAUUUUGGACAAUGGGGGCAACCCUGAUCCAGCCAUCCCGCGUGUGCGAUGAAGGCCUUCGGGUUGUAAAGCACUUUUGGCAGGAAAGAAACGUCGCGGGCUAAUACCCCGUGGAACUGACGGUACCUGCAGAAUAAGCACCGGCUAACUACGUG